This 253-nucleotide ribosomal RNA is filed under the name uncultured bacterium. RNAcentral describes it as "partial 16S ribosomal RNA". It matches the Rfam family "Bacterial small subunit ribosomal RNA", at positions 524 to 776 of the family's 1533-position model. The record is from RNAcentral.
UACGUAGGGUGCAGGCGUUAAUCGGAAUUACUGGGCGUAAAGCGUGCGCAGGCGGUUUGCUAAGACAGGUGUGAAAUCCCCGGGCUUAACCUGGGAACUGCGCUUGUUACUGGCAGGCUUGAGUGUGGCAGAGGGGGGUGGAAUUCCACGUGUAGCAGUGAAAUGCGUAGAGAUGUGGAGGAACACCGAUGGCGAAGGCAGCCCCCUGGGCCAACACUGACGCUCAUGCACGAAAGCGUAGGGAGCAAACAGG